This 428-nucleotide ribosomal RNA is filed under the name uncultured bacterium. RNAcentral's name for it is "partial 16S ribosomal RNA". It matches the Rfam family "Bacterial small subunit ribosomal RNA", at positions 354 to 796 of the family's 1533-position model. The record is from RNAcentral.
GUGGGGAAUAUUGGGCAAUGGGGGAAACCCUGACCCAGCAACGCCGCGUGAGGGAAGAAGGUUUUCGGAUUGUAAACCUCUGUCCUUGGUGACGAAGGAAGUGACGGUAACCAAGGAGGAAGCCCCGGCUAACUACGUGCCAGCAGCCGCGGUAAUACGUAGGGGGCAAGCGUUGUCCGGAAUGAUUGGGCGUAAAGGGCGCGUAGGCGGCCUGGUAAGUCUGGAGUGAAAGUCCUGCUUUUAAGGUGGGAAUUGCUUUGGAUACUGUCGGGCUUGAGUGCAGGAGAGGUAAGUGGAAUUCCCGGUGUAGCGGUGAAAUGCGUAGAGAUCGGGAGGAACACCAGUGGCGAAGGCGACUUACUGGACUGUAACUGACGCUGAGGCGCGAAAGUGUGGGGAGCAAACAGGAUUAGAUACCCCUGUAGUCC